Long non-coding RNA from Ailuropoda melanoleuca (giant panda), 384 nucleotides. RefSeq lists it as uncharacterized. The record is from RefSeq and is a predicted model, not a curated record. Lineage: Eukaryota; Metazoa; Chordata; Mammalia; Carnivora; Ursidae. The transcript has 3 exons.
UGAGCUUUGAACAUCAUUGAAAGAGGGAAAAUGUACUUUUAGUGUCCUGGAUUCCAUGUCUAUAGACUUUCUUCUCUGACAAACUUUACUGCACUUUAAAACCUCAGCCUCUUCUCAAUCAAGCUUGUUCCGCAAAAAAGAUCCAACAGCAAGUGAUUUGUACUUAAUUUGCUUGCUCGCGUUGAAGUCAUGUCUGCUAUUUCAAGGGAACGCCCAUUUACUUACCACUGUUGCUGUCUUUGCGUUUUACGUAUCCCACUAUCACCUGCAGCUGAGUUCCCUGGGCUUCCACUUUUUGGGCUGUGCAGUCAGCAGCAAACAUGGAUUUAGGAGACCUGAAGCCAAGUCCCGGUGAUCCCUGUAUUUGUCUUUCUAAGGUGUGGA